GAUGAACGCUGGCGGCGUGCCUAAUACAUGCAAGUCGAGCGAACGGACGAGAGGCUUGCUUCUCUGAUGUUAGCGGCGGACGGGUGAGUAACACGUGGAUAACCUACCUAUAAGACUGGGAUAACUUCGGGAAACCGGAGCUAAUACCGGAUAAUAUUUUGAACCGCAUGGUUCAAAAGUGAAAGACGGUCUUGCUGUCACUUAUAGAUGGAUCCGCGCUGCAUUAGCUAGUUGGUAAGGUAACGGCUUACCAAGGCAACGAUGCAUAGCCGACCUGAGAGGGUGAUCGGCCACACUGGAACUGAGACACGGUCCAGACUCCUACGGGAGGCAGCAGUAGGGAAUCUUCCGCAACGGGCGAAAGCCUGACGGAGCAACGCCGCGUGAGUGAUGAAGGUCUUCGGAUCGUAAAACUCUGUUAUUAGGGAAGAACAUAUGUGUAAGUAACUGUGCACAUCUUGACGGUACCUAAUCAGAAAGCCACGGCUAACUACGUG
This 497-nucleotide ribosomal RNA is filed under the name uncultured bacterium. RNAcentral's name for it is "partial 16S ribosomal RNA". It matches the Rfam family "Bacterial small subunit ribosomal RNA", at positions 28 to 507 of the family's 1533-position model. The record is from RNAcentral.